CGCCUGUUUAUCAAAAACAUAGCCUUUUGAAAACUUAUAAAAGGUAUUUUCUGCCCAGUGUAAAAUAAACGGCCGCGGUAUCCUGACCGUGCAAAGGUAGCAUAAUCAUUUGUCUUUUAAUUAAAGACUAGAAUGAACGAAUAAACGGAUAUUCCCUGUUUCUAUUUUAACAAUAAAAUUUUAUUUUCAGGUGAAGAAGCCUGAAUCUUAUAAAAAGACAAGAAGACCCUAUCAAGCUUCACUAUAGAUUUAUUACUAAUAAACCCUAUAGUUUUAUUGGGGCGAUACAAAAUUAUACAAAACAUUUUAUUACAUAAGAUUUAUCUAUCUCUUCAUUUAACUUUCAUAAAAAUUUAAGAAAGCUACUGUAGGGAUAACAGGCUAAUAUAUUUCAAGAGCUCAAAUCAACAAAUAUGAUUGGCACCUCGAUGUUGGCUUAGGAAACCUUAUUUAUGCAGAAGUAAAUAUUGGUGGUUUGUUCAACCAUUAAAUUCCUACGUGAUCUGAGUUCAGACCGG
This 518-nucleotide ribosomal RNA is filed under the name Synmerosyllis sp. MTA-2011. Its description in RNAcentral is "partial 16S ribosomal RNA". It matches the Rfam family "Bacterial large subunit ribosomal RNA", at positions 1797 to 2619 of the family's 2925-position model. The record is from RNAcentral. Lineage: Eukaryota; Metazoa; Annelida; Polychaeta; Phyllodocida; Syllidae.